Molecule: microRNA precursor, 87 nt
Filed under: Equus caballus (horse)
Lineage: Eukaryota; Metazoa; Chordata; Mammalia; Perissodactyla; Equidae
Description: mir-9014 microRNA precursor family
Rfam family: mir-9014 microRNA precursor family
Source: Rfam by way of RNAcentral
GGAGCCACAGGGAGGGAUACCACUCCAGCCUUAGGAAAAGAAACCUGCCACGGGAAUCUUGGAGAUUGGCAACCAUACAAUGACUUA